This 247-nucleotide unclassified non-coding RNA is filed under the name Hevea brasiliensis (rubber tree). Lineage: Eukaryota; Viridiplantae; Streptophyta; Magnoliopsida; Malpighiales; Euphorbiaceae. The record is from RNAcentral.
ACUUCAUAAAUACGACAGCAGUUGUUGAAGUUGUAGAAUUGAUGAAAGAAACUGCAUACAGCCACUUAAUGGAGGUGAUCUUGGGAGUUGCUCCUGAAAGCUUGUAUAACAAAAUGUUCACUAAAGUUUUCAGGAAAUCAUUAUUUGAGCUUUCAUCCCAUCACUGUGGCAACUUUGUUAUUCAAGCAUUAGUUUCUCAUGCAAGAAAUCAAGAACAAAUGGAGAUGAUUUGGGAGGCACUUGGUCC